RNAcentral lists this ribosomal RNA (447 nucleotides) under uncultured bacterium. RNAcentral's name for it is "bacterial SSU rRNA". It matches the Rfam family "Bacterial small subunit ribosomal RNA", at positions 355 to 825 of the family's 1533-position model. The record is from RNAcentral.
UGGGGAAUCUUGGACAAUGGGCGCAAGCCUGAUCCAGCCAUGCCGCGUGGAUGAUGAAGGCCCUAGGGUUGUAAAAUCCUUUCGUCAGGGACGAUAAUGACGGUACCUGAAGAAGAAGCCCCGGCUAACUUCGUGCCAGCAGCCGCGGUAAUACGAAGGGGGCUAGCGUUGUUCGGAAUUACUGGGCGUAAAGCGCAUGUAGGCGGGUCGUUAAGUCGGGGGUGAAAGCCCAGAGCUCAACUCUGGAACUGCCUUCGAUACUGGCGACCUGGACCCAAGGAGAGGCGAGUGGAAUUGCGAGUGUAGAGGUGAAAUUCGUAGAUAUUCGGUGGAACACCAGUGGCGAAGGCGACUCGCUGGACUGAUACUGACGCUGAGGUGCGAAAGCGUGGGGAGCAAACAGGAUUAGAUACCCUCGUAGUCCCUGAGCGGGCUGGCAAGGCGCAU